UAGGGAAUCUUCCACAAUGGACGCAAGUCUGAUGGAGCAACGCCGCGUGAGUGAAGAAGGGUUUCGGCUCGUAAAGCUCUGUUGUUAAAGAAGAACGUGGGUAAGAGUAACUGUUUACCCAGUGACGGUAUUUAACCAGAAAGUCACGGCUAACUACGUGCCAA
Molecule: ribosomal RNA, 164 nt
Filed under: uncultured bacterium
Lineage: Bacteria
Description: partial 16S ribosomal RNA
Rfam family: Bacterial small subunit ribosomal RNA
Source: RNAcentral